GUUCCCCGCCCCCUCACCCGGCCCAGCGCCCACUAGCCACAAGCCCCGCUUCCCCCUGGAGAUCAGCGCGCACUUCCCGAGGCUCCGUCGCACUCAGAGGUCGCACCCACUCCUAGGACUUCUAGGGGGUGCCCCGGCCCGGUGUCCCGGGAUCCUGCGAUCGCAAGAGCAGAAUGACGAAGGUGCUGCGGGUGGCAAUCCUGCUGUCCUACUGCUCUAUCCUGUGUAACUACAAGGCCAUCGAAAUGCCCUCGCACCAGACCUACGGAGGGAGCUGGAAAUUCCUGACGUUUAUUGAUCUGGUUAUCCAGGCUGUCUUUUUUGGCAUCUGUGUGCUGACUGAUCUUUCCAGUCUUCUGACUCGAGGAAGUGGGAACCAGGAGCAAGAGAGGCAGCUCAAGAAGCUCAUCUCUCUCCGGGACUGGAUGUUAGCUGUGUUGGCCUUUCCUGUUGGGGUUUUUGUUGUAGCAGUGUUCUGGAUCAUUUAUGCCUAUGACAGAGAGAUGAUAUACCCGAAGCUGCUGGAUAAUUUUAUCCCAGGGUGGCUGAAUCAUGGAAUGCACACGACGGUUCUGCCCUUUAUAUUAAUCGAGAUGAGGACAUCGCACCAUCAGUAUCCCAGCAGGAGCAGCGGACUCACUGCCAUAUGUACCUUCUCUGUUGGCUAUAUAUUAUGGGUGUGCUGGGUGCAUCAUGUAACUGGCAUGUGGGUGUACCCUUUCCUGGAACACAUUGGCCCAGGAGCCAGAAUCAUCUUCUUUGGGUCUACAACCAUCUUAAUGAACUUCCUGUACCUGCUGGGAGAAGUUCUGAACAACUAUAUCUGGGAUACACAGAGAAAGCCUCCAUCUUGGCAAGGCACGUAAUCUUAUCCAAGCUGUGCAAAACCUGUCCAAAGUGUAUGUAAAAUAACAUAAAAAUUGAAAGGUGGAAAAAGCGCCAGCACAGACAUGUAGUGAUUGAGUCCUGCAUGAAAAUACAUCCAAAGGCAAGAUGGUUUGGAGAUUUUAGGAAGCCCUGGCUCUUUCCUCUGACACAAUCACAGCAUUCUAGACAUCCCCAGUAAAUGGACUGUGUGACACAGACAUUGAGAACCCUGCUUUGUGCCAGACACCCUGCCAGGAGCUCAAUCGAAUCAGACAAAUAAAGCACAGUAUGGAAGAAGAGAAAGAAAAGCCUAAAUUGGAAUGAGAUCCAAGCCUAAACGCAAGAGCUAGAUUGAGCCGCCAUUGAAGACUCAUUCCCCUCCGGCAUUGGCAGUGGGGGAGAAAAGGCUUCAAAGGAACUGGUGGCAUCAGCACCCCCCCGCCCCCAAUGAGGACACCUUUAAAUAUAAAUAUGUAUAAACAUAGAAUACAGUUGUUUCCAAAAGAACUCACCCUCACUGUGUUUUAAAGAAUUCUUCCCAAAGUCAUUAUUGAUAAUAACAUUUUUUCCUUUUCUAGUUUUAAAACCAAAAUUGGACCUUGGAUUUUUAUUUUGGCAAUUGUAACUCCAUCUAAUCAAGAAAUAAUAAAAGUUUAUUGCACUUCUUUUUGAGAACUAUGUUAAAGUCAAAGGGGCAGAUGUAGAGUAAGGCUUUUGUGUUUUUAGUCCUAAAGGUGGCUGUAAUCAUGAACCUAAGCCACCACGGGGACCUGAGAGGAAAGGGGACAGAUGUUUCUCAUUGCAAUAAUGUCACAGUUGCCUCAGAUGAGCACUAUUUGUAAUAAUGAUGUCAAUUUCAUGAAAAGCCUGAGUGUAUUGCAGCUCUUGAUUUAAUCAUGUGAAACUUUUCUUAGAUGCAAAUUCUGACUUUAAUAAAGACGAAGCCACUCU
This is an RNA transcript of Rhinopithecus roxellana (golden snub-nosed monkey), 1818 nucleotides long. It is a transcript of the gene named androgen induced 1, with no coding region annotated. The transcript is spliced from 8 exons. The record is from RefSeq and is a predicted model, not a curated record. NCBI's taxonomy places the organism in Eukaryota, Metazoa, Chordata, Mammalia, Primates, Cercopithecidae.